CACCCGAUGGCACAAGGUGUGCGUCUGUGGAAUGUAUGAAAGGUGCCCGAAAAUUUAUGCAGAAGAGCCCCCGUUCGAUUCGGGGUCGGGUGG
Molecule: non-coding RNA, 93 nt
Organism: Mycena latifolia
Lineage: Eukaryota; Fungi; Basidiomycota; Agaricomycetes; Agaricales; Mycenaceae
Source: the annotation of a GenBank genome assembly